This 775-nucleotide ribosomal RNA is filed under the name uncultured Neocallimastigales. RNAcentral describes it as "partial large subunit ribosomal RNA". It matches the Rfam family "Eukaryotic large subunit ribosomal RNA", at positions 23 to 628 of the family's 3401-position model. Lineage: Eukaryota; Fungi; Neocallimastigomycota; Neocallimastigomycetes; Neocallimastigales. The record is from RNAcentral.
AUAGAGACUCAGAGCUGCAUAUCAAUAAGCGGAGGAAAAGAAACUAACUAGGAUUCCCUUAGUAACGGCGAGUGAAGCGGGAAGAGCUCAAAUUUGAAAUCUUCAAGGUUCUACCUUGACGAAUUGUAGUUUAAAGAAGUGUUUUCUGUUAGGAGUUGAGUACAAAGUUCCUUGGAAUAGGACAUCAUAGAGGGUGAGAAUCCCGUAUUUGACCAUUAUUUCAGCUGUGUGAUACACUUUCAAAGAGUCGGAUUGUUUGGGAAUGCAGUCCAAAAUGGGUGGUAAAUUUCAUCUAAAGCUAAAUAUUGGCGAGAGACCGAUAGCGAACAAGUACCGUGAGGGAAAGAUGAAAAGAACUUUGAAAAGAGAGUUAAACAGUACGUGAAAUUGUCAAAAGGGAAGCGUUUGACACCAGUGUUGUUUUCUCGAAAAUCAAUUACAAAUGGCUGGAUUUUGUGUUGUAUUGACCUUAUCAGCUUUCUGCACUUUUUUCUAGUCUUUUCCUAAUGCACUUUUCGUUUAACAAGUCAACAUCAAUUUCUUUUGUUGUAAAAGGGUCAUUGGAAGGUGGCUUUCUUUUCGGAGAAAGUGUUUAUAGCCUUUGGCCUCUGCAAUCGGAGAGAUUGAGGUCUGCAGCGUAGAUCCUUCGGGGUUAGAUACAUUUGUGCUAAGUUAUAGCCUUUCAUAGACAACUUGUUGACUAUGAUCAGUCAUGUAGCUUACUCGCUUAUGCUAUUUUACCUACGCUUAGGAUGUUGACGAUCAGCUGAGCGCG